GUUCCUGAACCUAGCCAUGUGCUUGGCCGAGGGAAUGGAGCCCGAGGCGCCCCCAGGUGUGGAUCCCCUGGGGAAGUGUGAGCAGUGUCAGACUGCCACAGGAACCGAGCGAUUGACCAUUUGUCUUCCAGAAAUGCACACAGGGGUAUGUUGGUUAAAUGAUACUCAAUUCAAUUUGUGUAAAAUAAAAGAGAAAAUUUGGUGUUCUAACCCAGGGGCAAGUAUUAUGGAAAAAUCAAUUCGGACCUCGGAAGAACUAGGGGUUCAAAAGACCCACUUCCGGAACAAAAGAGAAAUAAAGGGGAUUCCCCCAAUCACGGUCUGUGGACAGUGCAAUAAGACUGUCUGGAUUGGUGGGAAAAAGCAAUCGACAUUUAUAGCAUACCACCAAGUCAACCCUUUGUGCUACAAUAAAGCAAACUUAAAACCUUGUAUGAUGGGUGGAAAAUUGUACUGGGAAGGGAAAAAUUUGAAACAUGAGGCAAAAGUGUCAUUUAACAAUGAACCUAUAGUUUUACACUUACUGAAAGCAGAUGAUGAUAGAGUGUGUUUUCAAUUUGACCAAGUGUUCUGUUUUUCUAAAGACGAGGAAGGGUUAGACCCAGAAAAUAAAAUAAAACAACUAACUUUAGAGUUAAAACGACAGGAAAUGGAAAAUAAAAGAAAAAGAUUAGAACAAGAGAGAUUAAAUUCUCUCAGCGAACAAUACGAACAACUAGAAAAACAAUAUAACAGUUGGAAAUUACCUAGCCCAAAUCAGAAUCUAUUUAUAGAUCUGAUGCAGGAAAUAGCCACUGAAUUAAGAAUAUCCAACUGUUGGAUAUGCGGUGGUUUGAAAUCAGCCGAAAGAUGGCCAUGGAAGGGAGAAGGAUUAACCCCAGAACAAUUGCUAAAAUGGACAGGACUAAAAUUAUCAAAAACAACACGAAGACCAGAGGGAUGGGUAAUAGAUAAACGAAUAAUUAGGACGUUUUGCAUUAGCCGGGAGGGAAAAGAAUUUACUGACUUAGUAGGGUACACCCCGUGUGUAAAUACCCUCACGGUAAAUUCAGAUAAAAAAACAAAAAUCUGGCAACCAGAACCACCCGAGGGGUAUUGGAGUCCCUCUCGGGAAAAUAAUUGCGAAUGGUUAGAAAUAAUUGGACUCUGUUGGAACAAAAAUCUGGGNNNNNNNNNNNNNNNNNNNNNNNNNNNNNNNNNNNNNNNNNNNNNNNNNNNNNNNNNN
This 1225-nucleotide long non-coding RNA is filed under the name Parus major (Great Tit). Its description in RNAcentral is "lncRNA (ENSPMJG00000001061.1)". Lineage: Eukaryota; Metazoa; Chordata; Aves; Passeriformes; Paridae. The record is from RNAcentral.